UACGUAGGUGGCGAGCGUUGUCCGGAUUUAUUGGGCGUAAAGCGCGCGCAGGCGGUGCGCUAAGUCGGCGGUGAAAGCGUCCCGCUCAACGGGGCGAGGUCCGGCGAGACUGGCGGACUGGAGGCAGGCAGAGGCCGGUGGAAUUCCCGGUGUAGUGGUGAAAUGCGUAGAGAUCGGGAGGAACACCCGUGGCGAAGGCGGCCGGCUGGGCCUGGCCUGACGCUGAGGUGCGACAGCGUGGGGAGCGAACCGG
Molecule: ribosomal RNA, 253 nt
Filed under: uncultured bacterium
Lineage: Bacteria
Description: partial 16S ribosomal RNA
Rfam family: Bacterial small subunit ribosomal RNA
Source: RNAcentral